Molecule: ribosomal RNA, 497 nt
Filed under: uncultured bacterium
Lineage: Bacteria
Description: partial 16S ribosomal RNA
Rfam family: Bacterial small subunit ribosomal RNA
Source: RNAcentral
GAUGAACGCUGGCGGCGUGCCUAAUACAUGCAAGUCGAGCGAACGGACGAGAAGCUUGCUUCUCUGAUGUUAGCGGCGGACGGGUGAGUAACACGUGGAUAACCUACCUAUAAGACUGGGAUAACUUCGGGAAACCGGAGCUAAUACCGGAUGAUAUUUUUAACCGCAUGGUUCAAAAGUGAAAGACGGUCUUGCUGUCACUUAUAGAUGGAUCCGCGCUGCAUUAGCUAGUUGUUAAGGUAACGGCUUACCAAGGCAACGAUGCAUAGCCGACCUGAGAGGGUGAUCGGCCCCACUGGAACUGAGACACGGUCCAGACUCCUACGGGAGGCAGCAGUAGGGAAUCUUCCGCAAUGGGCGAAAGCCUGACGGAGCAACGCCGCGUGAGUGAUGAAGGUCUUCGGAUCGUAAAACUCUGUUAUUAGGGAAGACCAUAUGUGUAAGUAACUGUGCACAUCUUGACGGUACCUAAUCAGAAAGCCACGGCUAACUACGUG